GCGUGAGUGAUGAAGGCCCUAGGGUUGUAAAACUCUUUCGGCGGGGACGAUAAUGACGGUACCCGCAGAAGAAGCUCCGGCUAACUUCGUGCCAGCAGCCGCGGUAAUACGAAGGGGGCUAGCGUUGUUCGGAAUUACUGGGCGUAAAGCGCGCGCAGGCGGUCCUGCAAGUCAGGGGUGAAAGCCCAGGGCUCAACCCUGGAAUUGCCUUUGAGACUGUGGGACUUGGGUACGGGAGAGGUGAGUGGAAUUCCGAGUGUAGAGGUGAAAUUCGU
RNAcentral lists this ribosomal RNA (275 nucleotides) under uncultured bacterium. Its description in RNAcentral is "partial 16S ribosomal RNA". It matches the Rfam family "Bacterial small subunit ribosomal RNA", at positions 399 to 691 of the family's 1533-position model. The record is from RNAcentral.